Molecule: transfer RNA, 82 nt
Filed under: Puccinia triticina 1-1 BBBD Race 1
Lineage: Eukaryota; Fungi; Basidiomycota; Pucciniomycetes; Pucciniales; Pucciniaceae
Description: Puccinia triticina tRNA PTTG_20611
Rfam family: tRNA
About the family: Transfer RNA (tRNA) molecules are approximately 80 nucleotides in length. Their secondary structure includes four short double-helical elements and three loops (D, anti-codon, and T loops). Further hydrogen bonds mediate the characteristic L-shaped molecular structure. tRNAs have two regions of fundamental functional importance: the anti-codon, which is responsible for specific mRNA codon recognition, and the 3' end, to which the tRNAs corresponding amino acid is attached (by aminoacyl-tRNA synthetases). tRNAs cope with the degeneracy of the genetic code in two manners: having more than one tRNA (with a specific anti-codon) for a particular amino acid; and 'wobble' base-pairing, i.e. permitting non-standard base-pairing at the 3rd anti-codon position.
Source: Rfam by way of RNAcentral
UCCGAGUUAGUAUAUCGGCUAGUAUAUCCGCUUUUCACCCGGCGGGGCGCGGAGGAGACGGGUUCGAUUCCCGUACUCGGAA